UGGAGUAUGUGGUUAAUUCGAUGCAACGCGAAGAACCUUACCUGGUCUUGACAUCCCAGAAAUCCCUUGGAAACUUGGGAGUGCUUCCAUUAGGAAGAAUCUGGAGACAGGUGCUGCAUGGCUGUCGUCAGCUCGUGUCGUGAGAUGUUGGGUUAAGUCCCGCAACGAGCGCAACCCUUGCCUUUAGUUGCCAGCAGUUCGGCUGGGCACUCUAAAGGGACUGCCGGUGUUAAACCGGAGGAAGGUGGGGAUGACGUCAAGUCCUCAUGGCCUUUAUGACCAGGGCUACACACGUACUACAAUGGCCGAUACAAAGGGCAGCGACAUCGCGAGGUGAAGCCAAUCCCAUAAAAUCGGUCUCAGUCCGGAUUGGAGUCUGCAACUCGACUCCAUGAAGUUGGAAUCGCUAGUAAUCGUGGAUCAGCAUGCCACGGUGAAUACGUUCCCGGGCCUU
RNAcentral lists this ribosomal RNA (454 nucleotides) under uncultured Desulfobulbus sp. Its description in RNAcentral is "bacterial SSU rRNA". It matches the Rfam family "Bacterial small subunit ribosomal RNA", at positions 933 to 1382 of the family's 1533-position model. The record is from RNAcentral. Lineage: Bacteria; Pseudomonadati; Thermodesulfobacteriota; Desulfobulbia; Desulfobulbales; Desulfobulbaceae.